This 1517-nucleotide ribosomal RNA is filed under the name metagenome. RNAcentral's name for it is "bacterial SSU rRNA". It matches the Rfam family "Bacterial small subunit ribosomal RNA". The record is from RNAcentral.
AGAGUUUGAUUCUGGCUCAGAACGAACGCUGGCAGCGUGGAUUAGGCAUGCAAGUCGAACGGGAAACCGCGGAUUCAAUCUUCGGAAAGAAUUCGUGGUGGAUAGUGGCGGAAGGGUGAGUAACGCGUGGGCAAUCUGCUCUUAAGUUGGGGAUAACUCCGCGAAAGCGGGGCUAAUACCGAAUGGGGUCCUCCGGCGCAUGUCGGGGUGACUAAAGGUGGGGAUCCUUCGGGACCUGCCGCUUAGGGAGGAGCCCGCGUCCCAUCAGCUUGUUGGUGAGGUAAUGGCUCACCAAGGCAUACGGGUAGCUGGUCUGAGAGGAUGGUCAGCCACACUGGGACUGAGACACUGCCCAGACUCCUACGGGAGGCUGCAGUCGAGGAUCAUUCGCAAUGCGCGAAAGCGCGACGAUGCGACGCUGCGUGGAGGAUGAAGGCCUUCGGGUUGUAAACUCCUGUCAUGAGGGAAAAGACGCCCUAUCUCUAAUAUAGUUGGGGCCCGAUGGUACCUCAAGAGGAAGCCACGGCUAACUCUGUGCCAGCAGCCGCGGUAAUACAGAGGUGGCGAGCGUUGUUCGGAUUUACUGGGCGUAAAGGGUGCGUAGGUGGCUUCGUGUGUCGGAUGUGAAAGCCUACAGCUCAACUGUGGAAUUGCAUUCGAAACUGCGGAGCUAGAGUACAGGAGAGGAGAGCGGAAUUCUUGGUGUAGCGGUGAAAUGCGUUGAUAUCAAGAAGAACACCGGUGGCGAAGGCGGCUCUCUGGAAUGUUACUGACACUGAGGCACGAAAGCUGGGGGAGCAAACAGGAUUAGAUACCCUGUAGUCCCAGCUGUAAACGGUGUGCACUUGGUGUGGGCGGAAUUGACCCCGCCCGUGCCGGAGCUAACGCGUUAAGUGCACCGCCUGGGGAGUACGGCCGCAAGGCUAAAACUCAAAGAAAUUGACGGGGGCCCGCACAAGCGGAGGAGCAUGUGGCUUAAUUCGAUGCAACGCGAAGGACCUUACCAGGGCUUGACAUGUAGCUGCACGCCCCGUGAAAGCGGGGAAGCCUUCGAGGGUGCUACACAGGUGCUGCAUGGCUGUCGUCAGUUCGUGCCGUGAGGUGUUUGGUUAAGUCCAGUAACGAACGCAACCCCUGUGUUUAGUUGCCACCGCAGGUGAUGAGCCUGCGAGCACUCUAAACAGACUGCCUAUGCAAGUAGGAGGAAGGUGGGGAUGACGUCAAGUCAGUAUGGCCCUUACGCCCUGGGCUGCACACGUGCUACAAUGGCCGGUACAGAGGGCUGCAAAACCGCGAGGUUGAGCUAAUCCCCAAAAUCGGCCUCAGUUCGGAUUGGAGUCUGCAACUCGACUCCAUGAAGUUGGAUUCGCUAGUAACGGCGCAUCAGCUACGGCGCCGUGAAUACGUUCCCGGGCCUUGUACACACCGCCCGUCACAUCAUGAAAGCCGUCUACACCCGAAGUCACUGAGCCAACCCGUCAAGGGAGGCAGGUGCCGAAGGUGUGGGUGGUGAUUGG